CCUACGUGGUGCAGCAGUGGGGAAUAUUGGUCAAUGGGCGCGAGCCUGAACCAGCCAAGUAGCGUGAAGGAUGACUGCCCUACGGGUUGUAAACUUCUUUUAUAAAGGAAUAAAGUGAGGCACGUGUGCCUUUUUGCAUUUACUUUAUGAAUAAGGAUCGGCUAACUCCGUUCCAGCAGCCGCGGUAAUACGGAGGAUCCGAGCGUUAUCCGGAUUUAUUGGGUUUAAAGGGAGCGUAGAUGGGUUGUUAAGUCAGUUGUGAAAGUUUGCGGCUCAACCGUAAAAUUGCAAUUGAUACUGGCAGUCUUGAGUACAGUUGAGGUAGGCGGAAUUCGUGGUGUAGCGGUGAAAUGCUUAGAUAUCACGAAGAACUCCGAUUGCGAAGGCAGCUUACUAAACUGCCACUGACAUUGAUGCUCGAAAGUGUGGGUAUCAAACAGGAUUAGAUACCCUUGUAGUC
This 460-nucleotide ribosomal RNA is filed under the name uncultured bacterium. RNAcentral describes it as "partial 16S ribosomal RNA". It matches the Rfam family "Bacterial small subunit ribosomal RNA", at positions 338 to 795 of the family's 1533-position model. The record is from RNAcentral.